RNAcentral lists this ribosomal RNA (497 nucleotides) under uncultured bacterium. RNAcentral's name for it is "partial 16S ribosomal RNA". It matches the Rfam family "Bacterial small subunit ribosomal RNA", at positions 28 to 507 of the family's 1533-position model. The record is from RNAcentral.
GAUGAACGCUGGCGGCGUGCCUAAUACAUGCAAGUCGAGCGAACAGAUGAGGAGCUUGCUCCUCUGACGUUAGCGGCGGACGGGUGAGUAACACGUGGAUAACCUACCUAUAAGGCUGGGAUAACUUCGGGAAACCGGAGCUAAUACCGGAUAAUAUAUUGAACCGCAUGGUUCAAUAGUGAAAGACGGUUUUGCUGUCACUUAUAGAUGGAUCCGCGCCGCAUUAGCUAGUUGGUAAGGUAACGGCUUACCAAGGCGACGAUGCGUAGCCGACCUGAGAGGGUGAUCGGCCACACUGGAACUGAGACACGGUCCAGACUCCUACGGGAGGCAGCAGUAGGGAAUCUUCCGCAAUGGGCGAAAGCCUGACGGAGCAACGCCGCGUGAGUGAUGAAGGUCUUCGGAUCGUAAAACUCUGUUAUUAGGGAAGAACAAAUGUGUAAGUAACUAUGCACGUCUUGACGGUACCUAAUCAGAAAGCCACGGCUAACUACGUG